RNAcentral lists this unclassified non-coding RNA (482 nucleotides) under Hevea brasiliensis (rubber tree). The record is from RNAcentral. Lineage: Eukaryota; Viridiplantae; Streptophyta; Magnoliopsida; Malpighiales; Euphorbiaceae.
AGGAAGUGGCAACCGUCAAAUGAAUAAAUCACAUGGUAUGAAUCCCACUUAUCUAAUAGGGUUCAUCUUUUGAAGAAGAUGGGUUUGCUAAUUACCAACAUCCAUCAAUUGAAAAUACAUUCCGCAUAAAACAUGCCCCACAACUUACACAAUACAAAUGCAUUAGAUUGAGUACAUGGUUUAUGCGGCUUAGGUCUACUCCAGAUAGAGCAUUUCCCUAGCACCCAAUUAGUUCUUCUCUAAAAACAAGAACCUUUACAUGUAAAAGACACAUAUAUCAUUAGUACUCAAAACAACAAAGGACCAACAAUGUACGAAUGAUUGUGUCAAGGCAUACAGGUGUGUAUCACUUCACCUUCUCAAAUGCAUCUUCUUCAGGAUCACGAAGGGUACCUAGCAUCCAGUCCAUCCAUAUAGUAUAAUGGCCAUAAUUAUGCCGGUAUGUAGUAUGAUGAAUAGUGUGAUAGCCGGCACCCAUAAUA